This 6477-nucleotide long non-coding RNA is filed under the name Sus scrofa (pig). RNAcentral describes it as "lncRNA (ENSSSCG00000047123.1)". Lineage: Eukaryota; Metazoa; Chordata; Mammalia; Artiodactyla; Suidae. The record is from RNAcentral.
AGCAGUUACAUAAUUUAGAGAAGGAAGACUGACAGCCUUCAGUUACUCAGCCAGCCUGCAGUAAUGACCUUCAGGGAGGAAGCAGUGAAUCUCAUUCUUCAGAAGGUGAGAUUCCUCUUGUCUUCACUCCCAAACCAGAGGAGCCUAAACCUAUUGACACCAUCCACAGAGGCAACAGAGAAGGAUGGAGGAUGAGCAGCAAAUUGAAGACAUUUAGGACAUAUUGUCACAGAAAUGUCACCUCAAGUUAUCCAUUGGUCAAUAUUCACAUCUCACAGAUGGAUUCUCCCAAUUUAAAAUACUCACAAAAUAGUGAUAUUAUGAACUGUUCAAACAAACUAGGAUCUUAAUAAUCAAUCAUUUAGUCAGAAGAAUCCCUAAGCAUGUCAAAGAAUUGAAUGCUAUCCUUCAUAUAGUGCCAGAUCUGAGAUAAGAAAACAUUUAACCUACAAUCCAGUGUGAAAUAUUCUCAUUUUAGAGGAAAACAGAAAUCCAAAAUGCCAAAUGCAAUUUAGGCCUUCUUGCAAUAUGUAAUGUUUCUUGAUAGUUGAAGAGAUGAUAGAUAGAGAUAAAAAUAGACGUAGAUAAAGAUAUUUAUCAAAGCUAGAGUGGUCAGAAAGCAUAGAUGACAUGUUGGAAGUGCCACUGAAACAUAGGUGGAAUUUUAAAACUUUAGUCCAGUUCCAUUUAAUUCACCACGGGCAUUGGGUUUAAUAAUAUAUAAUAACUCUAGGAAUUAGAGAUGUUUUCCUUUCUUCAUUCGAAUAUCUUUGUAUUUAAAAUUCUAUACAUGUUUCUAAUAAUUUUAUCUUUUUUAUAACAUUUAAAACAGUAUUAUUAUAACAUCCUUAUUUCUAUCUCACCAAAACAAAUUUGAUUUAAAUAUAAUUGCAUAGAGCCUUUAGAAGUCUGAAUUGUCUGCACAACUGCAAUCAUCUUAUUUAUUUGCUAAUAGUGGAGAAUAACUGUUAUGAUGUAAAUACACUUUUCAAUAAGUUAAAAAUUGCCAUAUUAAGCAACAUGAUUUUAUAAGUUAAAGUACAUGGAAUGGAAACAUUUGUGAACAGUGUUAAAAUUUGUAUUGUCUACUUAAAAAUACUUUAUAUUAUCUUUACUUUGUAACAGAUGUUAAUAUAAAUAUGUUACUAAACUAAAUUGUAAUCAGAUUCCCCUUGAAGUAGAAGAGAAAGGUCUAUUUGUUUUUACAUGAAAUAAUUCCAAGGCAUUGUGAUUUUGUUCUUAUAUCUACUUUCAGUAGAUUUUUGACCUUUGUAAGCACUUCCAGGCCAUAAAUUAUCAAGUCUCCUUGUCAACCUAUCUGAUUCUUGUGGCAGUCACCUUCUUCACAGAUUAAUUUUACCCAGUCUAGUCAUGCAUUCAUUCAUUUACCAAUAAUUACUGAGUAUCUUCUAGUGCCCUGAUGGCCUAGUGGUUAAGGUUCUGGUGUUGUCACUGCUGUGGAUCAGGUUUGAGGCCUGGCCCAGGAAUUUCUGUAUGCCAUGGUUGCAGCCAAAAAAAUAAAUAAAUAAAUUAUUGAAUAUCUUCUAAGGAAACUUCAAGAAGACAAAUUCAAUCAGUAUAAGUGAGAUUUUUAACAAAAUUGUCCAAAGAUAAAAUAAACUGCCUCAAAAUAUAGUAAAAUUCCCAUUGUUGAAUGUGUGGAUAUGCUGGAUGACCAUCAGAAGCAAUUUUGCAGAAUAGAUUUAGUAUUACAAAACCAUGUUAUCAAAAAGGCAAAUUUGUGAUAUUUUACAAACAUGAGAUGCUGUAAUUCUAACUAUAAUUGUCAAAAAAAUCUCCCUAACUGCCAUAGGCUUAACCCAUUUUACCAUCUUUUACACUGGAAUUAGUGAUGCCUAUAAUAGAACUAUGAAAUUGCUUAUUCCUUGGUUUUCAGCUACUUCAGGGAGGAAUGGUUCACAAGUUAACACCAUGUUCAGAAGUAAAAAUAUAAUGUAUGCUAUUUCUUCAAGAACUGUUUCAUAUUUGUCUUACUCUGUAAAUAAAUCCAAAUUAGUUUGCUCAAUAUUCCAUACCAUAAAAGCAGAAUCAAGAGCAAUAAUGGUUUUGUUUUAUUCAAAUCUAAGUUAAACUCUCCAAGAAUCCCCCAGUUAGUUUAAUCACGGCUUGGCACAUCCACAAAUCUUUGGUUGACUGUUUAGAAGGUCAUAAACUUCCAUUUUCUCUACUUGUUGAAAGAUGCAGCUUCUUCUCCCACAAAGUUUUCUUAUUCAUUAGCUUGUCAAAGUUAAUGGAUGCAUGACUAGCCCUAAGAGUGAAAACAAUAUAGUGUGUAAAACUGGUCCUUUACUUGUUGUGAGCAGCUAGGAAACCAUUGGUUGGACUCAAUAUAGGAUCAUUCAUUCUACAAAUAUUUGCAGAGCAUGUGUUAUGCUCCAGGCACUCUUCUAUCAUAGGCAAUGCAUCUGUGAACAAAACAGGCCAAAAUUUCUGCCUUGAAGAGUCUGGAUUCUAUGGGAGGAAAGGAGGCAGGAAAGAAAUAAGAAAAUUUAUUUAAUUUAAUAUAUGCUACAUAAUAAUAAGAGCUAGAGAGAAAAACAUAAAGCAGAAAAAGAGAAUACAUGCAUGUGUCUAUGUGUAUAUAUUUGGGAGAAAUCAAAAUUUUAGUUAGGCUGGCCAGGAUAGAUCUCACCAUAUUUGAGGAAGAGCAAGGAAGCCAGAGUGACUGGAACACAGGAAGUAAGGACACAUUGUUAAAUCAGGUAAGAUUUCAGAAAUCGGAGGAAAAAAAUGUGUGUUUUUAUAAAAAAUGAGAUAAGAAGCCACCGGAGAUUUCUGAAUGGAGGAAAGUUGUGAUCUGGCUCAUGUCUUCACAGGUUCACCUUUGCUGCUCAGUUGAGAACAGAUUAAAGAGACAAGAGAUGGAAGCAGGAAUAUGGGUUAGUAGAUAGAGUAAUGACUCAUGAGCAGGAUAAUGGUACUGGGAUGGAGGUCGUGAGAAGUGGUUGAAUUGUCCCAGAUAAAUUUUGAAGGCACUGCUGACAGAUCCAAUGUGAAGGAUGAUUGUAAGCGAAGAUGGCACCAAGAUUUUUGGCCUGAACAAGUGUAAGGAUAGAGUUGCCAUUGAUAAUACACAGGGACCUACAGCUUAGUUUGAUUGACAUUGAGUUUUUAAUGUCCAAGCUCCAAGAUCCCACCAAAAUGAAAGUAAUCCAAAAUGCAUUUCAGCAUAGUGUAUGUUGUAAUUUAUUAAAAAGUUGCAAAUGAGGCUCAUGUAAUAUAAUGGGUAGUAUAUACUCAGCAGGGAGAAAUAGAUAAUGGCUAUGUGAAAUUUUUAUAAUGAGGCAAUAUGACUAGUGAUCUUUACCUUGAAAUGGAAUUCAGAGCAUUGCCACUAAAUUGAAAUGGAAUUCUGAACAUUGCAGACUAAAACAAUUAGUUAAAAUUAGCUGUUUUAAAUUCCAAAUUAUUUACCCACAUAUUUGACUGUUUCUACUGUCUAAUUCCCAGCAUUCCAUAACUAUGCCUAGCAACUGUUAACAAAAUAUAUACAUCACUGAAUCUUUGCAUGAACUCUAGACCAUAUAUACCAAAAAAAAUCCCACUGUGCCAUUCUUGGCUUAAAUUAAGGACUAACUCUGAGAGAUCUCAUAACUACAAUAGUCACUUUUCUGAUUGCAUGACAUGCCAAGCCACUUAAAUGGCAUGUGUAAGGUAAAUAAAAUCAAUUGCAAAGAGGUUUUGGUUAUAAUUUGUUAGCUGCAAAGCAUACAGAAGAUUUGGUUGAAAAGUAUCUCAGGAGGGGAGAUCUUCAACCAUAUAUUGUAAUGGCAUUGUAUUUCUUAUCUCUUGUGAAAAUUUAUCAAAAUAAAUCUGGCAGUCAGGAUCAUGGUGAUCCCUCUUCCUUUGGAGGAGACAUGCGAUCUUCUUUUCACUGCUUUGGGCUGCUUACAUGAUGCUAGUUAUUAAUGACACACUCAGGAUUAUGGUGACCACUCUCCACCUCCUCCAGCAGAUGUAGCCAGACUAUGGCAAAACAAAACAACAAAUACAAGGGUAUAAUUCUAUUUUGCAAACAAAACAGUAGGUAUUAACUGCUUCAAAAGAUUCCGUAGCCUGAAACUUCUCUCUAAAAUAAAUGCCUACAAAUGCUAUGAUUGGUUAAGUGAUAAUGUUGCUUUAAAUGAGAUUACUUUCUAGUGGUGUCCUUCAUGCAUAAAUUCCUCCACUGGCUACCUGGGCCUGAAGAUGUCUGGGGUUUUAAAAUUAUUAUUAUCUCUCCAUUUAUUUCGUUUUUUGUAUUUCACUUCUAAAGAAAAAUUACCUUUGUAUCUUUUGGGGUUAAAAUUGAUUCACUUUUUCACCUUCCUAAGCAUGUUUCAUUGAAAUACAAUAUUGAUAUAUCUCCAUGAGGGAGUUUAAUCUGCCCUCUCCAAAUUAAAGCGAAAAUAGGAGAUGAUGCUGGGUCUUUAUAAUGUCCCUUCUGACUCACUUUUCCUCACAACCAUGAAUAAAAAAUUUUUCUGAAAAAGCAGUUCCUAUAUAUAUCCCUGCAUGUGUAGACCCAAGCAGAAUAUUCAUAAAUAUGUACUGGGCUCCCACUUGAUGUGAGGUGUUAUGUUAGAUGUUAAGGUGAAUACUGCAAAGUAUUGAAAUGCCUCCUGUCCUGAGAGAGCUCCAAUCUGCUGGGAAUUCUGAGAAAGAUAAGUCAAUUAUGACAUUACAAGGGCAGUCUGGGCACAGGUAAAGUGAGAUUAAAUCCAAAGAGAUCACAGUUUAUUUAGAAAGCAUUAUAAUAUUUUAUACACUUUCAUGUUUUGUCUGCACAAUAGCUCUUUGCUCUGAUUAGAGCAUAAGUUACUACCCCUAUUUGACAAAUGAAGAAACUAAAUCACAGCAAGUAACUACAGGUAUUGGCAGAGUAACUACAAGUAGAAACUCAGUUCGUGAAUCUUAAUCUGUCUAUGUUUUUUAAGAUAGGUGUACAGAAAAUUCCCCCAGGACUCAAACAGCGGCCCUUUUACCUUCACUUUAUAAGUUUUUAGUUAUUAUUAGAAUCUGAAGCAAUGCUAAAUUGUAUCUUAGUUUCAGUUCCCGGGGAAACAUAUCCUGAGGCAGAAACACAUAUGCAAAAGUUUGAUGGGACGUGCCCUUGGAAACAUCUAUAAAGGAGUGAGUGAGAGAAACAAGAGGCAGAGGCUGAAUUUAAAUGCAGUGGCUAUAGGGAAUUCUGAUGCUCCAUCUUCAAAGCUGCCCCCACCCCAUCGAGGUGACAGGGUUGGGUCUUUAUACUGCCUUAUUUACCAGUCAUUGAAUAUAAGGUGCUCUGGAGAGAAAAUGAGACUUGGGACAGGAAACUACCUGCUCCCAGAGAGGUAUUCAGCCAGUAACCAGUUACAUAAGAAGUGAGUGAACUUUCCAGAAGUGGGGGUCUAGGCAGUGUAUCACGCCUCCACCCCAACUAGUCAGGAGAGGCUAAAUGAUGCUAUACAGACAAAUUAAGCUCAAAAUGCCAGUGGCUUAAAUGACAAAAUGUAUCCCUUGCUCACAGAAUAUACCCAGCGAAUGUCAAGUCAAUGACCUAGUGAUCUGUGCUGCUCCUUCUUGUGUCUUCAUUUCCAGCAUGGUCUCCUCAGUUAUGCAGGGGCUUUCACUGCAGCAAUCUGAGACUGACAGGUCACUUCUACUCAUAGCUUAGAAGCCAGAAUUAAUCACAGGCUCUUUAAGAGGACUGGGCAGUGUGUGCUUCCUUGUACCUGGGAAGGAGAGAAACAGAGAAAUAGCAAUAUGAGAAGUAUCCAUCUACUCUUUUUGGUACCAAGUUAAAUCACACUAGAACAGUAAAACAUCAACCUACCAGUCAAUAAAUAUGUACAGAUUACAUUUUAUGUAACAGUGCUACAUUAGCAGUUUUAACAAAUAGUAAUAGCAGAACAACAAAGCAUGAAAUAUCUGGAUGGGGAAAAGAUAAUCACAUUGGCAAAGUAAAGAAAGUUAUUCAAGGCAGUACAUGAUUGAGACCUAAAUUGUGACUGUUGACGUUAAAUGCUAUAAGAAUGUGGGCAAGAGAUAUCAAAGAGAGGAGAAGUCAGAAAAGAUUUCAUAAAAAAUACAAAAAUUGAAUUGGGCCCUGAAAAUUGAAAACACUAUGGAAAAAAACAGCAAUUUUCCUCCAUCAUUAGAAUAAGGUCUACAUCAUAACCAAUCUAAGAACUUUUUCAAUGGUCCUUUCUGAAAAUCUCACAUUCUCAAGGAUAUGCUACCAUAAUUCAUGCAAAAUAUUCCCUAACAUGAGGGAGGUUGCUGUCGUGGCUCAGUGGUUAACGAAUCCGACUAGAAACCAUGAGGUUUCAGGUUCAAUCCCUGGCCUCGCUCAGUGGGUUAAGGAUCCGGCAUUGCCAUGAGCUGUAGUGUAGCUCGCAGACGCAGCUCGGAUCUGGCGUUGCUGUGGCUGUGGCAUAGGCUGGUGGCUACAGCUCCAAUUCAACCCCUAGCCUGGGAACCUCCAUAUGCCGC